RNAcentral lists this small nuclear RNA (107 nucleotides) under Sus scrofa (pig). The record is from RNAcentral. RNAcentral also lists the same sequence under 1 other name. Lineage: Eukaryota; Metazoa; Chordata; Mammalia; Artiodactyla; Suidae.
GUUCUUGCUUCGGCAGUACAUGUACUAAAAUUGGAACAAUACAGAGAAGAUGAGCACAGCCCCUGUGCAAGGAUGACAUGCAAAUUCGUGAAGCAUUCUGUAUUUUU